AGUGAACGCUGGCGGUAGCCUAACACAUGCAAGUCGAACGGCAGCACAGUAAGAGCUUGCUCUUACGGGUGGCGAGUGGCGGACGGGUGAGGAAUACAUCGGAAUCUACUUUUUCGUGGGGGAUAACGUAGGGAAACUUACGCUAAUACCGCAUACGACCUACGGGGGAAAGCAGGGGAUCUUCGGACCUUGCGCGAUUGAAUGAGCCGAUGUCGGAUUAGCUAGUUGGCGGGGUAAAGGCCCACCAAGGCGACGAUCCGUAGCUGGUCUGAGAGGAUGAUCAGCCACACUGGAACUGAGACACGGUCCAGACUCCUACGGGAGGCAGCAGUGGGGAAUAUUGGACAAUGGGCGCAAGCCUGAUCCAGCCAUACCGCGUGGGUGAAGAAGGCCUUCGGGUUGUAAAGCCCUUUUGUUGGGAAAGAAAAGCAGCAGGUUAAUACCCCGCUGUUCUGACGGUACCCAAAGAAUAAGCACCGGCUAACUUCGUG
Molecule: ribosomal RNA, 491 nt
Filed under: uncultured bacterium
Lineage: Bacteria
Description: partial 16S ribosomal RNA
Rfam family: Bacterial small subunit ribosomal RNA
Source: RNAcentral